CGGAAAAAUAUUUUUGGAUAUUUUUGAAUUGUGGUAUGUUUGUUGAGAUUUUCUAAAAGUGUAUUUUUAGAAAAUUAUGUGAAUUGAAUGUGUGUUAGAAUUAUAUGGAAUUAUAAUUCUAUGUUUAUUUAUUGAAAUAAAUAAACUAUGUGGUGUAUCGUAUAGAAAUACGAUGACGCGGAAAGAGAUAGUCGGAAUCAAAUUUGGUUUGUGAUUAUAUGGUUAUAUGGUUGAGUCGGUCUAGAGUAUAUCCUAGAAUUUAGAGUUAUUACAUUUAUUAAUGUUUUAAUCUCUAAAUUAGAUCCAGCGAGUUUUGUCGCGGAAACCGGCGAGCAAAGGUUUUGAAUAUUCGACGGGUGGUAUUUUUAUAUAUUUGGAAUAAGCGAGUACUGCGAGUAGUUUGAGGUGAGGAUUUCCAAUUUCUUGUUCCGGAAAUCCCUGGAUUGAAUAAGUGAGAAUGACUUUCCUUUAUGUGUCUAGAGUUGCAGUAGCUAGAAUAAUGAACGGUGAUACCCUAGUAGUCGUUGGACUUAUUUAUGCUUUAUAUUUUAUAACGCUCAAACUCUGAUAAUUUGUAAUAUGUGAAUGCUGUGCGAAAGUCCGAGCGACUGCACUUGAAUAAAAUGCGAUGAACGCAUCUGCAUAGUGAAAUGCAGUUAAGUCCAUAGAGAAAUGGCCUGCAUAGUGAAAUGCAGUAAUUACCAUAGUAAGAUGGUAUGCACAUGAGAUGCAUGAUAAACCAUAGAGAAAUGGUUUUGAAACUAAAAUGCAAUAAUUAAAGAGAAAAUUAUGUGCA
Long non-coding RNA from Mercurialis annua (annual mercury), 796 nucleotides. RefSeq lists it as uncharacterized. The transcript has 2 exons. The record is from RefSeq and is a predicted model, not a curated record. Lineage: Eukaryota; Viridiplantae; Streptophyta; Magnoliopsida; Malpighiales; Euphorbiaceae.